This is a long non-coding RNA of Thamnophis elegans (Western terrestrial garter snake), 727 nucleotides long. RefSeq lists it as uncharacterized. The record is from RefSeq and is a predicted model, not a curated record. The transcript is spliced from 3 exons. Lineage: Eukaryota; Metazoa; Chordata; Lepidosauria; Squamata; Natricidae.
AGAUGCCGGGGGAGUGAUGAGCUACGCGCUGCCUGUUGCGAAUGCCCUGCUGCGGUCUUCAUGAACCCAGAAACAAAACUUGGAAAAUAUUGCUCAUCACUGAAAAGAAAAAGAAACCAAAGACAUAGGUUUCAUGACGAAUCACAUAAAUCAUGACGUAUUGUUCCUGAACCGAGGGGUGGGUAGAUGGGUAGAGAAGCAGAGAAGAAAAUACAGCUUGGGAAAGGCAAGACUCUGAAAGAAAAGACAAACCGUGGAUCCAAACCAUUUGGUUUCUUGGCAGAAGCAUCUGCUUUUAGAAGAAUAUCCACACUUCAUCAUUCCAAUGCAGUAUGAUUGUUUCUGGUGAACGCCAACUUUUCAGUCCUGUGCCAAAAAUACAAAAGUGUAUUCCUCCUUAAAGGAUUACUUGCUGAUUAUAUGUACUGAUUAUUAAUUUAAAAAAAACAGGAGUAAAAGUUCAGCAGAAGAUACCAAGAUGUUCAACAUAGGAAGGUUGCCUUUAAAAAUGUGUUUUUUAGUAUUCUUGGGAACAGGAGUAGACGUUUUGCUAUCAGAAGAAUGCAAGAGUAAAUGGUUGAGUAGCAUCUUUUUUUCUUGAAAAGAAAAUAGUUUAAAAAAUUAUUUUAUUUUAUUUAUUCAGUUUCUAUAGCUGUCCAUUUCAAUCAAUGACUCCAGGCAGCUUACAACUAAAAAAAUAUGCCACAGUUAAAACAAUAAAAAUAUU